UGUAGCAAUACAAGGCGUACUGCUCAGUAACACGUAGCUAACAUGCCGUUUCGCGGGGGAUAAUAGCGGGAAACUGCUGAUAAUACCCCAUAGGUGAGGGAUGCUGGAAUGCACCCUUGCUCAAAGCUUCGGCACGAAACGAUUGGGCUGCGGCGGAUUAGGCUGUUGUUGUGGUAAAAGCGCAACAAACCGAUAAUCCGUAUGGGUCAUGAGAGUGAUAGCCCAGAGAUGGUCUCUGAGACAUGAGACCAGGCCUUACGAGGCGCAGCAGGCGCGAAACCUUCUCAAUGCGCGAAAGCGUGAAGAGGGAACCCUGAGUGGUGCAGGUUUUACCUGCAUCUUUUGUUUACUGCAAAUUGCACGCCAGUGCGGAAGCACUGGCGGUUUGUUUAGGUAGGCGAAUAAGGGGUGGGCAAUACGGGUGCCAGCCGCCAUGCUGUUAAUGUAUUUUUCAUUGCAGUAGCGGCACGGUAAACGGUAAUACCCGAGCCCCAAGUAGUGACCACGUUUAUUGGGCCUAAAGCACGCGUAGCCGGGUCAACGGGUCCUUGGUGAAAUCCAGUAGUAAACAUAUGUGCAAGCACAUAUUGUAACAUGCUUCGCAUAUUACAAUAUUGGAAUGGCCAGGGAUACUCCUGACCUAGGGACCGGGAGAGGUCUGGGGUACGUUGGAGGUAGGGGUAAAAUCCUUUAAUCUCCCACGGACCACCUGUGGCGAAGGCGCCAGACUAGAACGGAUCCGACGGUGAGGCGUGAAAGCUAGGGGAGCGAUCGGGAUUAGAUAGAACCUCUUCUUGAAAGAAAAGCUUCAGCAAAAGAACGUAAUAAGAAAAGGUUUCCUAAACACCCCGGUAGUCCUAGCCGUAAACGAUGCCCGCUUGGUGUUGCUGGACCUUAGGGGUUCUGCAGUGCCGCAGCGAAGGCGUUAAGCGGGCCGCCUGGGGAGUAUACAACAGGUAUUCCUGUUGUAGCCCAAACGUUCGCAAGGAUGAAACUUAAAGGAAUUGGCGGGGGAGCACUACCAGAGGUGGAGGCUGUGGUUCAAUUGGAUUCAACGCCGGGAACCUCACCAGGGAAGACAGCAGGAUGAUGGUCAGCCUGAAGGGCUUACCUGACAAGCUGAGAGGAGCUGCAUGGCCGUCGUCAGUUCGCGGCGUGAGCUGUCUUGUUAAGUCAAGAAACGAACGAGACCCACGCCGUUAUUUGCUACGUUUCUCUCCGGAGAAACAGCACUAUAGCGGGACCGCUGGUGCUAAAUCAGAGGAAGGAGUGGUCAACGGCAGGUCAGUAUGGCCCAAAUUCCCUUGGGCAACACACGGCCUACAAUGCACAGGACAAUGGGAUGCAACACCGUAAGGUGAAGCCAACCUCUUAAACCUGUGCUUAGUUCGGAUCGAGGACUGCAACUCGUUCUCGUGAAGCCGGAAUCUCUAGUAAGCGAGGGUCAUCAUAGCAGCAAGUUGAGAUGAUUGCUGGGCCAGAUGCAAUGUCAAGUAGAUGAAAUUAAGAAGUGGCUUGACUUGAAUACUUGUUUUUGCAUUCAGCAGCUCUAAGAUGAGCUUGUUGUUGUGGAAUCUCUCGCUGAAUACGUCCCUGCUCCUUGCACACACCGCCCGUCAAGCCAAUCGAAUGGGGUUUUGGUGAGGCCU
This 1649-nucleotide ribosomal RNA is filed under the name uncultured euryarchaeote. RNAcentral describes it as "bacterial SSU rRNA". It matches the Rfam family "Archaeal small subunit ribosomal RNA", at positions 63 to 1385 of the family's 1478-position model. Lineage: Archaea; Methanobacteriati; Methanobacteriota. The record is from RNAcentral.